GUGCUCGCCUCAGCAGCACAUAUACCAAAAUUGGAAUGAUACAAAGAAAAUGAUCAUGGUCCCUGUGCAAAGACAACAGGCACGUUCGUGAAGCAUUCCAUUAAAAC
Gorilla gorilla gorilla (western lowland gorilla) is the source of this 107-nucleotide small nuclear RNA. The record is from Ensembl. Lineage: Eukaryota; Metazoa; Chordata; Mammalia; Primates; Hominidae.